GUAAAACUCUCACGAGGUUAUAUGUUUUCAGAGUAACUACGCUUGUGGUGAGAUCCGGACUAACCUGCACUUCCCCCGUGUCCUGCCUCGCCUCAUCAGCAACAGAUAUUUCCAGGCAACCCCUUUUCAAAAUCCUGCGGGGCGAAUGUGGCCCGGAUGCCAAGAGAUAUUUCCCUAAACACACCAGUUUCCCCCAAUAUGACAUUCCAGCCGUCAUCCUGGGGAGGACAGUCGACCCACACCAUCAUAAUUCAUAUAUUUCUUGGGAGGUGGCAGAGGGGAGAGUCAGCAUACAUUAUAAAAGUGUGUCCUUCAGCUUCUGCAAUUCUCCCUGUUGCUGGCCUGAAGGUCCGUGUUCAAAAAGAGGAAAUAUUUGCAACAAAGGCACUCAUAUGUCCACGAACGAGCUAAAUAAAAGCAGAUGUCUCCUUGUGGUUUCAGUUCAGUAAACUUCUUUCUUUGCAAAUACAGUAGCCCCCCCUUAUCUGCGGGGGAUAUGUUCCAAGACCACCAGCGGACCCUGGAAACUGCAUAUAGUACCAAACCAUAUACAGUAUAUACUAUGUUUUUCACUAUGCAUACAUAUCUAUGAUAAAGUUUAAUAUAUAAAUUAGGCACACUAAGAGAUUAACAACAACAUGUAAUA
This is a long non-coding RNA of Brienomyrus brachyistius, 646 nucleotides long. RefSeq lists it as uncharacterized. NCBI's taxonomy places the organism in Eukaryota, Metazoa, Chordata, Actinopteri, Osteoglossiformes, Mormyridae. The transcript has 3 exons. The record is from RefSeq and is a predicted model, not a curated record.